GGUGCUGCGAUCCAAUGAACAGUGAGAGAAAUUGACCAAGAAAGGUGCUCCCCAGGAGGGCUUAGCCAUGGAGGAGAGAUUUGGAAGAGAAAGGGAAAUAGGCAAGUCAAGCGGACGGUCAAAGUCUCGAAAGAGCAGGAGCAAAAAAGAAGUCAGGUGCUACAAGUGCAACGUGAUCGGGCACUUCGAACGAGAUUGCCUACACUGGAAGAACAAG
RNAcentral lists this long non-coding RNA (217 nucleotides) under Elaeis guineensis (African oil palm). RNAcentral's name for it is "long non-coding RNA (EGUI_LNC039737)". The record is from RNAcentral. Lineage: Eukaryota; Viridiplantae; Streptophyta; Magnoliopsida; Arecales; Arecaceae.